RNAcentral lists this ribosomal RNA (497 nucleotides) under uncultured bacterium. RNAcentral's name for it is "partial 16S ribosomal RNA". It matches the Rfam family "Bacterial small subunit ribosomal RNA", at positions 28 to 507 of the family's 1533-position model. The record is from RNAcentral.
GAUGAACGCUGGCGGCGUGCCUAAUACAUGCGAGUCGAGCGAACAGACGAGGAGCUUGCUCCUCUGACGUUAGCGGCGGACGGGUGAGUAACACGUGGAUAACCUACCUAUAAGACUGGGAUAACUUCGGGAAACCGGAGCUAAUACCGGAUAAUAUAUUGAACCGCAUGGUUCAAUAGUGAAAGACGGUUUUGCUGUCACUUAUAGAUGGAUCCGCGCCGCAUUAGCUAGUUGGUAAGGUAACGGCUUACCAAGGCAACGAUGCGUAGCCGACCUGAGAGGGUGAUCGGACACACUGGAACUGAGACACGGUCCAGACUCCUACGGGAGGCAGCAGUAGGGAAUCUUCCGCAAUGGGCGAAAGCCUGACGGAGCAACGCCGCGUGAGUGAUGAAGGUCUUCGGAUCGUAAAACUCUGUUAUUAGGGAAGAACAAAUGUGUAAGUAACUAUGCACGUCUUGACGGUACCUAAUCAGAAAGCCACGGCUAACUACGUG